Molecule: long non-coding RNA, 309 nt
Organism: Cyprinus carpio (common carp)
Lineage: Eukaryota; Metazoa; Chordata; Actinopteri; Cypriniformes; Cyprinidae
Exons: 2
Source: RefSeq, a predicted model, not a curated record
UGUGUGUGUAUGCAUCUUCUAUUUUCACUAAUUUGUCAGUAAAACACUCUGGGUCAACUGAUCCCGAAAAUACGGAUACAUAGAAAAUUCUGUGAGGGAUAGAUUUCACAAGGAUACACAGGAUGCCAAAGAGCCGCUAGUAAACUACACUGAUGAUAACACCAUCGGGUGUCCAUUAAAAGGAUCAAACACCCAUGAGUUCCAACAUAUUGUUUUCAACAUAUUGCAUAUUUUUGUCUCACACACAACCAAAACAUUAUUUGCAAUGUCUUGCUUUGGAAUGAAAUAAAUUUAAAUCUGAAACUAAAA